RNAcentral lists this transfer RNA (69 nucleotides) under Epicauta emmerichi. RNAcentral describes it as "Denierella emmerichi tRNA-Gln". The record is from RNAcentral. Lineage: Eukaryota; Metazoa; Arthropoda; Insecta; Coleoptera; Meloidae.
UAUACUUUAGUUUAUGAUGAAUGCAGAUUUUUGAUAUCUAGGGGGAUAGUUUAAUUCUAUCAAGUAUAA